AGACCAUGAUGGGGACAUUCUAUCUGAUGGUCCUUGAACCUCUCCCAAGCCUCAUGUAAAGAUUCAUCGUUACCUUGGGUGAAAUUUGUGAUUUGACUACGCAAACU
Molecule: non-coding RNA, 107 nt
Organism: Beta vulgaris subsp. vulgaris (sugar beet)
Lineage: Eukaryota; Viridiplantae; Streptophyta; Magnoliopsida; Caryophyllales; Amaranthaceae
Source: Rfam